CCUACGGGUGGCAGCAGUGGGGAAUAUUGGGCAAUGGAGGAAACUCUGACCCAGCAACGCCGCGUGAAUGAUGAAGGUCUUCGGAUUGUAAAGUUCUUUUCUAAGGGAAGAAGAAAGUUACGGUACAUUAGGAAUAAGCCUCGGCUAACUACGUGCCAGCAGCCGCGGUAAUCCGUAGGUGGCAAGCGUUGUCCUGAUUUACUGGGUGUAAAGGGCGGGUAGCCGGGCUGACAAGUCAGAUGUGAAAUCCGGGGGCUCAACCCCCGAACUGCAUUUGAAACUGUGGGUCUUGAGUAUCGGAGAGGCAGGCGGAAUUCCUAGUGUAGCGGUGAAAUGCGUAGAUAUUAGGAGGAACACCAGUGGCGAAGGCGGCCUGCUGGACGACAACUGACGGUGAGGCGCGAAAGCGUGGGGAGCAAACAGGAUUAGAUACCCGGGUAGUC
Molecule: ribosomal RNA, 443 nt
Filed under: uncultured bacterium
Lineage: Bacteria
Description: partial 16S ribosomal RNA
Rfam family: Bacterial small subunit ribosomal RNA
Source: RNAcentral